UCCCUAGUGGCUCAGAUGGUAAAGCAUCUGCCUAUAAUGCAGGAGACCUGGGUUCAAUCCCUGGAUUGGGAA
RNAcentral lists this transfer RNA (72 nucleotides) under Bos indicus x Bos taurus (hybrid cattle). It matches the Rfam family "tRNA". From Rfam's summary of the family: Transfer RNA (tRNA) molecules are approximately 80 nucleotides in length. Their secondary structure includes four short double-helical elements and three loops (D, anti-codon, and T loops). Lineage: Eukaryota; Metazoa; Chordata; Mammalia; Artiodactyla; Bovidae. The record is from Rfam by way of RNAcentral.